UACAGAGGUCCCAAGCGUUGUUCGGAUUCACUGGGCGUAAAGGGUGCGUAGGCGGUCGGGUAAGUCUGAUGUGAAAUCUCACAGCUUAACUGUGAAACUGCAUUGGAUACUAUUCGGCUUGAGGUCUGGAGGGGGGACUGGAAUACUUGGUGUAGCAGUGAAAUGCGUAGAUAUCAAGUGGAACACCAGUGGCGAAGGCGAGUCCCUGGACAACUCCUGACACUGGGGCACGAAAGCUAGGGGAGCAAACAGG
RNAcentral lists this ribosomal RNA (253 nucleotides) under uncultured bacterium. Its description in RNAcentral is "partial 16S ribosomal RNA". It matches the Rfam family "Bacterial small subunit ribosomal RNA", at positions 524 to 776 of the family's 1533-position model. The record is from RNAcentral.